UGAUUAUUUUUGAUUUAUUUAUGUACUUUGUCUCAUUAUUUUCUAAAGUUUAUUUGUUAGCCUUAUAAAUAUUAUUUGUUUGUGAUUGUUGACAGGGGUGGAACUCUUGUACAAGCCCACUGGGCUUUGUUCCCUCCUUGCACCAUUAUUGUAAUGUGUGCUAAAUAAAUAAACUAAACUAAACUAAGUUGCACUCACGUUGGAUAAUACAGGGAGGCUGGUGAGCUAGCAGAGCAGCAAGAGGCGUCCGACGACGACACACAUGGAGCGGAUGCGAAGUGGAAAGGGACAUCGCACAUCGUUUUCCCGGAAUCUUAACAUUGGAAACAACCGUUCUCCUAGAAAAUCCAACUGAAAAGGGAUGCCAAUCAAGCCUGUGGCUGUGGUGCAUUCCCAGAGGAGAGUGCCAGUGCCACUUCGUGGCAGCCUGAAUAAGGAGUUGGCCAGGAGGACAAAGUUUGGGGUCAUUGAACAUGUGGAACAACUGACUCCAUCACCUGUGGAAGGGAAACUAAUGAUCGCGAAAGUCCGCGGCCGACUUUCGCGGGCCGCCCGACCCCGGUUCUCGGCCGGGCUGCAGACCGGGCUGCAGACCAGGCGUCGACCGGGCUGCGGACUGCAUACGACCGGGCUGGAUAUCAUGUCGUAUGAUAUCCAGAUCUUCCAUGUUCUAGUGACUCCAGGACUUCGUUGAGUCCACUGCCACCAGCCCCCCCCACCUCUCCCUCAUGCUCCUCCACCCCAGGCACCUCUUUCACCACCCCAGACACCCCUUCCAAGAGGAGAGUUCCAGGGAGCAGGCGAGGCAUGAGGAGAGCGAGGCAAAGUUGGCGGAAUGGUGGAGAAGAUGUGAUCCUCCACCAUUCUCUCAAAAGCUGAGAGAGAGUGUGUGUGUGUGUGUGUAUUUUUAGGUGUGCGUGUGUGUGUAUUUUUAGAUGCGUGUGUGUGUAUUUUUAGAUGUGUGGUUCAGUGUUUCUUAUUUAAAUAAAGUUUUUCUUCUAAAGUGUUCUUGUUCAUAACCGAUUAUUAUCUAAGGGUGCACUCACACUAGGCCAACUGGCAGUGGCCGUGGCCGUUUUAGCACCUAACCGUGCUCAAAUCUGUCAGUGUGAGUGUGGCCAGUCUGGCCAGGCCGGGCCAAUUUGGCCACUUGGGAGAGGUGUGCUGCUACGGCACGGGCCGCUACGGUACAGAUGCUAAUGAGCCGACACGCGCUACGCAACCUGAGCUGGAUGACGUAUAGUCAAUGCGAAGACCAC
Molecule: long non-coding RNA, 1259 nt
Filed under: Gadus morhua (Atlantic cod)
Lineage: Eukaryota; Metazoa; Chordata; Actinopteri; Gadiformes; Gadidae
Description: lncRNA (ENSGMOG00000030208.1)
Source: RNAcentral